UACGGAGGAGGCAAGCGUUAUCCGGAAUUAUUGGGCGUAAGGCGUCCGUAGGUGGUUUAUCAAGUCAGCUGUUAAAGCGUGGGGCUUAACUCCAUAAAGGCGGUUGAAACUGAUGGACUGGAGUGCGGUAGGGGUUACGGGAAUUCCCAGUGUAGCGGUGAAAUGCGUAGAUAUUGGGAAGAACACCGGUGGCGAAAGCGCGUAACUGGGCCUGCACUGACACUGAGGGACGAAAGCUAGGGGAGCGAAAGGG
Molecule: unclassified non-coding RNA, 253 nt
Filed under: uncultured cyanobacterium
Lineage: Bacteria; Bacillati; Cyanobacteriota
Description: contains 16S-23S intergenic spacer region
Rfam family: Bacterial small subunit ribosomal RNA
Source: RNAcentral